UACCAGCACCCCGAGUGAUCGGGACGAUUAUUGGGCCUAAAGCAUCCGUAGCCGGUCCUGCAAGUCUUCCGUUAAAUCCAGCUGCUUAACAGAUGGGCUGCGGAGGAUACUACAGGGCUAGGAGGCGGGAGAGGCAAGCGGUACUUUAUGGGUAGGGGUAAAAUCCGUUGAUCCAUAGAAGACCACCAGUGGCGAAGGCGGCUUGCCAGAACGCGCUCGACGGUGAGGGAUGAAAGCUGGGGGAGCAAACCGG
RNAcentral lists this ribosomal RNA (253 nucleotides) under uncultured bacterium. RNAcentral describes it as "partial 16S ribosomal RNA". It matches the Rfam family "Archaeal small subunit ribosomal RNA", at positions 474 to 727 of the family's 1478-position model. The record is from RNAcentral.